Molecule: non-coding RNA, 125 nt
Organism: Streptomyces sparsogenes DSM 40356
Lineage: Bacteria; Bacillati; Actinomycetota; Actinomycetes; Kitasatosporales; Streptomycetaceae
Source: Rfam
GCCGGGAGCCCCAUUGCGGGGCCACGAAGAAGGUAAUGGGGGAGGCUCCAAACCGCCUCAUGCUGGGUUGGCUGAAGACCGUCGUGGUGAGCGAUGAGGAAAAGGCGCCGUAUGAGGCGUCAGGU